Macleaya cordata is the source of this 199-nucleotide small nuclear RNA. It matches the Rfam family "U2 spliceosomal RNA". Rfam says of the family: U2 is a small nuclear RNA (snRNA) component of the spliceosome (involved in pre-mRNA splicing). Complementary binding between U2 snRNA (in an area lying towards the 5' end but 3' to hairpin I) and the branchpoint sequence (BPS) of the intron results the bulging out of an unpaired adenosine, on the BPS, which initiates a nucleophilic attack at the intronic 5' splice site, thus starting the first of two transesterification reactions that mediate splicing. Lineage: Eukaryota; Viridiplantae; Streptophyta; Magnoliopsida; Ranunculales; Papaveraceae. The record is from Rfam.
AUACCUUUCUCGGCCUUUUGGCUAAGAUCAAGUGUAGUAUCUGUUCUUAUCAGUUUAAUAUCUGAUACGUGGGACAUCGUCCCACAUGAUAUUAAAUUAAUUUUUUUUCUUAGGGGAGGUCCCACCACAAUGGCUUGCCAUUGGGGUCCUCAAGGGCCGCCCAUGCGUUGCACUAUUGCACGGGCUUGGCGCGCCCCUU